This 424-nucleotide ribosomal RNA is filed under the name uncultured bacterium. Its description in RNAcentral is "bacterial SSU rRNA". It matches the Rfam family "Bacterial small subunit ribosomal RNA", at positions 966 to 1394 of the family's 1533-position model. The record is from RNAcentral.
AUCAGCGUACUUCGACAUAUUAAGAACUUUCCAGAGAUGGAUUGGUGCCUUCGGGAACUUACAUACAGGUGCUGCAUGGCUGUCGUCAGCUCGUGUCGUGAGAUGUUGGGUUAAGUCCCGCAACGAGCGCAACCCUUUUCCUUAUUUGCCAGCACUUCGGGUGGGAACUUUAAGGAUACUGGCCGUGACAAACUGGAAGAAGGGGGGGACCAACUCAAGUCCUCAUGGCCCUUACGACCCGGGCUACCCACGUGCUACAAUGGUCGGUACAAAGGGUUGCUACCUAACGAUAGGAUGCUAAUCUCAAAAAGCCGAUCGUAAUCCGGAUUGGAAUCUGCAACUCCACUCCCUGAAAUCCGAAUCCCUAGUAAUCCCGGAUCAAAAUGCCCCGGUGAAUACCUUCCCGGGUCUUGGACACACCGAA